RNAcentral lists this unclassified non-coding RNA (11815 nucleotides) under Leishmania donovani. RNAcentral's name for it is "gene:unknown". Lineage: Eukaryota; Euglenozoa; Kinetoplastea; Trypanosomatida; Trypanosomatidae. The record is from RNAcentral.
UGUGCUUGCGCACGCGUGCACCUCUGUCCUUCGGGUGCCUCCCUCUUUUCUUGUCUCACGGCAAUCCCCUCCCCCCCCCGCAUUCCCGCACUUCUUGUUCGUUUCUGUCCAUCCAUCUAUCCAGCAGCUCGGUGACGAGUAACAGCAUACGGGCACACCAACACCGACAACGUACAGACCAUCAUUACUGCCAUCAUCAGGUGCUCGUAAACAGCACACCCACACACACACACACGCACACAAGCAUACGCGGCUUGGGUGGCACCGCUUUCUCAGCGUUCUUGUGGUUACUCCCUAUAUACUCUCCGCACUCAUUGCGCUGACCUCUUAUACGCUGUCCCCCUGCUUUCUGCGCGUGUCUCUCUCGCGCACCCCCUGUCUUGCUGUACACAUGUGCUGGGUGCGCAGUGUGCCUGCGUGUUCGUUUUUCCCUCUCGAUAGUUGCGCGCAGUCGCACUAUCGAGCUGUCCUACCCUGAGAGAACAGAGGUGCUCGCUGAAAGGGGCAGGGAAACCAUCGCCGGCUCGACGACCCUCCCUUCCCCUCUACUCGCCCUUUUCUGCGACGGGCUCUCGCUCCAUGUGUGCGCGCGCGUGUGUGUGCUUUUGCAUAUCGCUGCAGCUCUCGCUCCGCCGUCUCAGCGCUGGACCACUUGUAGCGUUGCUGUUUCCUUUCUGUCGUCUGUCGCUUUAUUUCACUGCCGUUGAGGUAAGAGUGCUCGUUGCACCUGGUGCGCAAGUAGGUGUGCGCCGCCCUCCUCCCCUCCCCCUUCUGCGCGCUGGUGGGUGCGUGCUCGCUUGCCUGUAUGCCUGCACGUACCAGUGUGCGCGCCUCUCUUAUUCCUCUCGUCGCGCCCCUCUUGCGUGGUUCUUACAGCUGCUCGCGCCGUCGAGGAGAGCGUGCUCGGGUGUCUCUCCGUGAGAGAGGGUGCGCGAGAGGCGGAGGGGGGAGGGAUGCGGACACAAGACCACGCACACUCACAGACGGAGUCAACUGGCUAACCGGGGCCGAGAUAAAGGCUUUGUGUGUUUGUGUGUGUGUGCCGGGGCAUCGGUGCAGUGCCCGCUCUGCAACGCCCCCCCUUUUCGCUCCCUAACACACCUCACGCCUUGUCGCGCUUCUUACCGACGUACCACGCGCGCACACGCACUCGACAGUCAAGGCAGCAUGCUGCCCUCACCGAACGGGCCAAGCUCAUCCUAUACGUGGAUGUCGGCCCACACGGUCGCGCGUGGCAAUCGCGGCUGCGGUGAGGAAUUUCCCCUCCUCCCUAAACCCGGGUCGAGAGCGUCCAUGUGCCGCUUGACGCAGUCGGCGCCACGCACCGAGUCCGCCGUUCCUGCCGCGACGACCUCGUCGUCGAACCUUUUCCCCCACGUCGCUGUGUCGUCACUCUUGGUCGGCGACUCUUUAAAAGGCGGCGGAAGCACCUUUGGUGAUGGCGGCAGCGGCAGCGACGGAAACGGCAGCGCCGGCGGCUCCAGCGAUGCCAACGGAGGCGCGGGUGGCGGCAAUGGUGGCCUUGCGUUUGGUGCUGCACCGGCGUCGCUCUCCGAGUUCCUCCGCAUCUUCGCGUAUGCUGUCCGCCUGCAGUCGUGGGCGAGUUGGCUGCUGGCUGUCGUGUUUCAUCUUUUCCAUCUGCUGCUCAUUCUUUCCUUCUGGAGCAGUCCGAUCCUCUACCGCUCCACCUUCUUCUCCCAGUCGAUGGCGAAGUCGCUGCUCGAGGCGCAGAGCGUCAGACAACACAGAAGGGGCAGCGAUGGGUGUAGCAACAACGGCAGAACAAGACUGAGCGCCGCUGCGGGGAAGGGUCCGAGCGGCGCGGAGGCGGCUGCCCUGCUGCGCUCCAGCGAAUCGCCAGCGCCGGUCUCCGUCGAGAGCGUGUGGGCUAUUCACGACUCCGUCUUUUUCCUUGAGGAGGGCCGUGCCGUGAUGCCCACGGCGAUAGCGAGCAGCUUCUCCAGCCUGGGGGGCAAGAAUCACCACGGCGGCACCACCAGAAGUACUUCGUAUGCUGGUCGGGACGUGCGCGACAGUGACGACGCCGACCAUAGCACUGGCAAUGAUGCGAUAGACAGCAUGAGUCAGGGCAAGCCCCGCGGCAGCCCGCACACGUGCAUUCUGUCGCACAAGCCCGGCGGCGAUGCCGGUCGCAGGGGUGGUGCGCAGAAGACGGUUGUGUCCGCGACUGCAGUCUCUACGCUGCGCGAGGCGACUGGCGCCGCCGCCAUCGGCCAGAGCAAUCAGCUGCGGCCGACGGUGUCAUGGGAUUUGUGUAGCAAGGACGAAGACCGCCACCGUGCUGCCGCGACGAGUGACGGCCCUGGGCUGCUGCGCUGGUUUGCAGGGUCUCCUCCCGUCGCGCCGGAGCACACUCUGUCGCAGCGCAAGAAUCUCAGUCACGGGCUAGUCGCGCUGUCGCAGAUCAUCGACGCGUGGGCGGCGUCUCCGCUAUAUUCGUCUCCGCUGGCCCUGGCCCUGCUUUACCACCUCUACGGCGUCGCCUGUGUCAUCCUGCUGCUGACCGUGACGGACGGCAUGCUCACCGGGCACUUUUCCGCGCUGCGACUCUGCAUCGCCCUUGCUGAGCUGCUUUGGUACAUUCGCCACGGCGCGCACGCUUUCCUUAUCUACUGCUGGAUGCUCGUGCUGUCGCACUGGCCGCAUCGCACAAUGUGCUCCGCCGACGACGCGGCGUUUCUUCAGCAGGGCACGCCGUACGCGGUGGUGACCAAGAGGAGGGGACAGGUGUCCAUGUUUUGGUUUUAUAGAGCCGCCUUGGCCGUCGACGGGGGUGCCGAGGGCGGCGGCGGUCACGGAGGCGCUGGCAAGUUGCUUGUGGAUGAGAUCAACCUUCCGUACUAUCUCUAUGAUCAAGUGUGGUACCUCAAGCCGCUCGCCGAAGGCAUCGAGGUCUUCUACGUCUGCCUCCUGCUGCUGUGCCUCGUGAAGGAUUUUCACCGAGUGCUGGACGCCGUCGUUGGCGUGCGCGAGCUUAUGGAGCCCGAGGGGUGUGUGCGCUGCCCCCUCUGCGGUGAGUUGAUGGUGUUGUACGAGCAGCGCAGCCUCUUGCGGGCCAACUCUAUCUACGAACCCGCCCGCGGCUGCAUAUCAUGGUCCGGUUGGCGGAUGAGGUGGUGGUGGCGUUGGCUACGCAGCCCCGUGCAAGGCAGCUGCAGCGGCCACCGUGUACCCACACCACCUCUGCCGAGUCCUCUCUGGCGCUGGCUCUUGCCGGCGCGGCUCGGCGGAGGCCCGCUGAAGACGCCGCUGGCGGUCUCCGCGACCGCUGGCGCACCCACGGAUGACGGUGACGCCUCCCUCACACCGGGUAUGGGCGACGAGACCACCUUCACACUCGCCGAAAUUCUCGAGGAUGUCGAGUUCUACGAGCAGUCAGCUGUUCGUCGCAGCGCGGCGGCCCCGCAGGAUACCACCACGGAGGCGACGGCGCAUCUCACGCAGUGGCUGAGGGCGAUGCCAUGCGCGGCACGGUCGCCGAUCGUACGAGUGCAGGACGGCGAGCAUAGUCGCAGCAGAGCCCGCAAUGGCGGCUUCUCAGCUGAGCAGGACGAGGAGAACGCCGCGGCAACGGCGGGCGCGCUGGCGCUCGGGUUGUCGGCCUCUUCGUCGUCUGAAGAGUGUGUGAGCGCGGGGCUGGUGACGGUAGCGCCCGCCGCCGCGCCCGCAACGCCUGACAUGGGCGCUGCUACAGCACCGGCACACGGUGCUCUGACUGCGUUCGCCAAGGCAGGGCCUCCGAACCCCUCGCCGACCCAUUUGGUCGCGUCUUCCAUCCCCGCCAGUCCCACUCGUCGUCGACACGGCCGCCGCUCACAAGGCCGUUUGCAGAGGUCGUUGAACAGCAGCCAACAGUCGAUGACGCCGCGGAAGCGCCUGCAGCGUCGGACUCGAUUCACGGAGGAGGUGCUGUACUGGAACCGUGCCACGCGGCACGUGCAUCACCGGUGCCCAAGACUCUACUUGGAUGCACAAGAGGCGACCGACGAUGAAGACGAUGACGGCAGCGACGGCGGCAGCGCCUCGUGUGAAUGCAGCAGCGAAGCUUCUUCAGCGACGUCCUCCACUGCGGCCACGCCGACGUCCGGUUCACUUACUCGGCCGGCGACUACCGCAUCGGCGCGCGCGCACGCCGUCAACCCUCUGACGGCAGUUGACUAUGCGAACUUCCACCAAGGCGUGCUGCACCGCUCCCUCUCUCCGCGCGCUGGGCCGGGUGGCAGGGCCGCUGGGACCGGGCGUUUCUACAUGCCCCAGCUCUCUGCUGAGCUGGACGAGCCAUCGCGCGUGCAAGAGAAGCGGCUCCAGCAGCAGUCGCAGCAGUGCACAGCCAGCCAUCAAGGCACCUCUGCGGCAGAUGACUCGACGCACCAGCGUAACGAUCGGAUCAUCGGCCCGGACUUCUCGGAGGCACCGUCCAAGCUCUUUGCACAGGGUCCGCCACCACAGUCGGCUGCUAAACACAUAGUGGAGCGCGGCCUGUACGACCCCAACAAGGCCGGCGAGGACGAGUUCAGGCCCGGCAACGCCUUUCAGUCGUACGAUCGUGCAGGGUAUCUGUCGCGGCUCACCCAUAGUUGGCUGAACCCGUUGCUAAAGUUCGGGCUGCUGGAGCCGACACUGCUGCGACAGGAGCGCUUCUUGCCCUCGCUGCCGGAGGAACUGCUGUCACUGGACAACAUUGCGAUGCCGGCGUGGCGUUUGUGGGUUUAUCGAAAGGUGUGGUUCGCCGCCUACGUGGCGAAGCCGGGGGAGCUGCUCAUUCCCGGCAACGAAGCUAUGAAUCGCGCCGAGGAGGAGCUGAUGUCGCUUGCCCACCUGCACGAAGCCGACCGCAGUGAGAGCGGCGAGGAGACGGAGAGCUUGGACGGCAGGCAGACCGCUGUAAUGCUCGGCCAUACUUCGUUUAAGCAGGCAGCCAAGUUUCGUCCGCAGCGGCCGCGCCGGUGCUGGCAGGAGAGUCUCUUGUGGGCUCUCUCCGCGCCGGUACGGUGCAUCCUCGUGACACUUUUCUAUCACGUAUACAUUGGCACAUCGCGCACGGUGCGCCGCACACGGCGGCGUCUCGCUCGCGAACUGCUGAAGGACCGCCUUAGCACCGCCGCCGAGAACCUGUACGACCCCAACGGCUAUCAGACUGUGGAGUCGAGCGAAGCGAUAGAGGAGGCGACGUGGGCGCUGACCGAAGUGGCGUCCUCGUGCGGCAGCAGCGCUGCUGCGCCAUCAGUGGGCUCCGCUCUGCCGACCCACAUGCGCCGGCAGCUCGCCCUGAGUGAUGUGAGCCUGUACUACCUCUUCCUGGAGCACCGCUGCGGCCGCCGCUUUCUGCUCGUCGCGGCACCUCUGCUGCUGCUAAGUGAGCUGCUGACCGUGGCGGUGGUGCCCGUGCUUGAGCUGCUCACUAUGUGCCUGCAGCGCGUGGAUUCCGACAUGGUGCCGCACCGCCGCGAGGCCCCGAGCGAUCAAAGCAGCGUGACGGAGGCUCUUCUGUGUGCCAACCUGUUGGGGGUGCUGCUGCUGCUGCAAGGUGUGGUGCACAGCGCCUACGUGGGCCAGGCGCAGCAGGCCGCAAUGGAGGCGCGUACGUGCGUCUGUGCGGUAGUGCUGGAGAAGACGCUGGCGCUCCCCCUCGCGCAGCGCACCUUCACGGAGGCAGAAGUGGUGGCUUUGGCCACUGAGGAGGCGAUGCGUGUCGCGACGUGCUUGAGGUCGCUGCAUCUGACCUGGUCCUGCCCGCUGCGAGUGGCACUUCUGUUGCUGCUGCUCGCCAACUAUGUAGGCUGGGUGGCCGCCGCAGUGGCCGGUGCCGGUUCGCUCCUCACCGUGCCGCUCUUGCGCCACUCUUCGCGCGAGGUGCGGCAGAGGCGGCACGAGGCGCGGGAGACAGCAGCGCCACGCAUCGCCCUGCUGCAGCGCGCUCUGAGGCACAUUCGCAAAGUCAAGGCCAUGUUGCUGGAAGGGCGUCUGGCUCACUGGCUGCGGAAGGCGCGUGCGACAGAGGCCUCCCGCGCUGAGGCGGUGGCGAUGGCGGAGGGCACGGCCGGCAUGUUGGCCGGCGGCGUGGAGUGUCUGCUGAUGGUGGCCGCCCUCGGCGCCGAGUGCGUCCUCUCCGCCAAGGAACUGCGAGACAUGGACGUGCAGGUACCCGCGCUUGCCAUCUUCGUGCUGCUGACGAUGCCGCUGCUGGAGGUGCCGGCGCUUUUCAGCGUGGUGGCACGCGGCUUUCUCGCGAUGAAGCGCAUCGAGGCGUACCUGCGGCAGAGGCCCGACGAGUUUGCCGGCACUUGGGUGGAUCUGACCAGCUUCACGGCGACGCAGCAGCAACUGCGCGUGGAAAACCCCGGCAGCACGCUGCUUAACUACCGCCGUGGCAGCGUGGUGUGCCGCAACUCGUUUUUCACGUGGCAGCAUGACCUGACCGAAGAGCCGCCGUCGGCGCUCUUGCGUGACGUCGACUUCUGCAUCCGUCCUGGCCAGUUGGUCGUCGUGCAGGGCUCCAUGGGGGCUGGCAAGAGCACCCUGCUCUUGUCCAUCCUCGGCGAGGUGAAUCUGUUUGUGUCGUCAGGGUGCUCGACGAACGGCAGCUCGACGAGAUACAGGUCGGAGAAAACGUUGUCCGUCGUGUCCGCCACCGAGGCAGCGGCGCUGGCGCCGGUAUACACCGGCGGCGCCCCUGGCGCCGUGGGGGACGGCAACCGGCGCGACCCCGGCCCCGCCGCUGCGGCGGCCUGCCCCCCGGCUUUCCCUACGCCACCGAGCAACAGCAUCAGUCUAGCCGACGCCGCCGCACUUGGCAUUUUUGUGGCGUCGCCGAUGGACUCCGCCGAGGCAAGGCGGUGCGUCAGCGCGGAGCAGACGCUUUCGGCUGUACCCGGCGCUGAUGCAGCAGCGGCGCAGAGGGCGCUGGCCGGCAUCGCCUCGACAGCUGCUGCCGCGGCUGCUGCGGCCAAGACUUUCAUGGCAGCAGGCGGUGCGUCGCCGGGUGGCUACGCUCGAAGCGAGGCGUCGAAGUUGUCUGCCCGUAGCCUCGCUGACGAUCGCGCCAGUGUGUGCUCGGUUACCACUAAGAACGCCUCACAGCUUAGCCCCACCGGCCUGGAAGGCGACGACAGCAGCACUGGCGGCUUCCUCGUCUUCGGAUCCUGCGCCUACUGUGCCGAGGUACCUUGGCUGCAGAACGACACCAUCCGCGCCAACAUCGUGCCCGGUGGUGGCCCGGUGCUGGAGCGUUGGUACUGCGCGGUGCUGCGUGCGUGCGCGCUGAGCGCGGAGGUGACGGCGCUGCCGCACGGUGACGCGACCGUAAUUGGCGAGAGAGGGGAGCUGCUGUCGCUAAGCAUGCGCUGCCGCAUCGCCAUCGCGCGGGCCGUGUACUCCAAGUCGCACGUGUAUCUCAUGGACAGCGUCCUCUCGCCACUGGAGCCUGCCAUUCAGGAGCACAUUAUCCGCGAGGUGUUCCACAGGCUACUGCGCAAGAAGACGAUUGUUUUGGCCAGCAACGUCGGACUGCGAUCGCUGCGGCCGCAUCGCGUUUUCAGCGUCGUGAAUGGUGUCGUGCGGGAGGACACCGACUUGUACACGGCCGUCUCCUCUCUGCAUGCCCGCGGUGACGAGGAUGACGAGGAGGCACUGAUGCAGCGACAGGCAAGCGACUGCGGUGGCACUGCGGCCGACGGUGAUGAUGGUGGUCUGUUGAAGCGCGAUAGCAGUGCGAGCCAGGCCAUGACCCCGCCGCUGCCAGCACUCUAUGCCGAGGAGUUCGAGGAGCCGCAGGAGGCGGCCGAGGCGGAGACGUUGGUGAAGGUGUUUGUCGACGACCCUGCGGUCGCGGCUACCACGGUGCUGUUCGACGGCGACGCGGGCUUUGGUCCGCGCGAUCCACGGCUGCUCGGCGAGCUUGUCGAUCGCCUAGACGCCGGCAUCUCUGGCGAUGACGUGUCGUUGGCGGGCUCGGCGCUGCUGGCCGGCGCGGAGGGGGGUUUUGGCAACAGCGCCGCUCUACGCCCCCGCCGCUCCCGCUCCUCGUGCCCACGCCUGCCGCGGCGCUUUAAAACCGGCCGCAGCGGAGCCGCUUCGGGCGCGGAGACGCCGCCCAAGGAGGUCCCGCUGCCGGGGACCGUGACGACCAACGUGGCGAGCUGCCAGCCGUCGCCCUACUUGAAGGCGCCCACCGCAGCACCGUCACACCCUGCUGCCGAUCCCGGAGCGCCGCUCCACGGCGUUAACGUGGACGGCACUGGCUGCGCCAGCGACUGUAGCGAGCAAGGCAGCAGCGCCAGCGCCGGGAGUGGCAGCAACAGCACCUGCUCCAACGAUCCGUGCAUGAGCAGCCACUACGCCCAGCUACUGCGGCGCGAGCCUCCUCUGCGCCGCCGCCACCGCCUCUUCCUCUUCAUUUUCUUGCGCUUCAUGGGUGGGCAGGUGACGUGGGUGUUGUUGACAGCGCUCCUCCAGCAGGGCAUCUCUCUGUGCGUCGAUAUUUGGACUGCAGCGUGGCUGGCGGUAAUGGCGGCGCACACGACGCGUUCCGCAGUCAGCGCAACGAGGGCAGCCGUAGUAGGCCGGUCGUUCUCGUCUCGAGUGGCAGAGCAGCUGUACACGUGGGCCGCCGUCAGCGACCUCGCUUUCGUUGGUGUGUUGUCUGCGUUGUGUCUCUUGGCGAUGCUGCUCACGCUGCUCCGCGCCCGCGCGGUGUACGUCGGGGCGUACGGGACGAUGCAUUUCAUCUACAACCAGAUUGCAUGUCGUGUGCUGCACUCGCCAGCCUCUUAUUUCGACAGUCGCAUCAUCGCGCUCGUGACGCGCGUGCUGCGCGACGACGGCGAGGUUGCCGAGUACCGCGUUCUGUCCACGGCGGAGACACUGCUGAGCUGCGGUGCGCAGGUGGUGCUGGUCGCACUGUGGAAUGCUUUCGUGAACCCCGUUUUUAUACUGCUGCUGCCGAUGGCCGUGUCCAUCUUCUACCACAUCUCGCAGCGCCACGCGGUGGUGCUGCGCGAGGUGCGCCGGCUGGAGCUUGGCUCGGUGAAUGGCAUGACCAACAUCCUGCGUGAGGUGUAUGAGGGCGCACCCACGGUGCGCUGCAUGGCUCUGCAGGACCGACUGCGCGAGGAAUUCUGCCGUGCGCUGGAUACGGCCAACACGGCCUCCAUGGUGGCCUACCUGACGGAUUGCUGGGUGGAGCUGCGACUGCAUGUGCUCGCCACCCUCGCCGUGUACAUAGCUGCCACGGUCGGCGUCAUCUUCACGUUCUCCUACUCACAUCCAAGCUUCACGGCAGUGGCCGUGAUCGCUUGCCUGCGGGCCGGACCGGUGCUGACGGUGAUGUGCCGCAGCCUCGGCGCCUUCACGGCGAAAGAGUGGAUCUCGGUACAGCGGCUCAUGAGCCUGUGGGGCGCGCCCCAGGAGCCGCUCACCCUCGUCGGCGAGGCGGACCUUUAUACCUACAGCCACGUCCGUCGCAAGGCGACAGGGCCGUUUGUGCUGGAGGGUGGAGAUGACGCCCCCUUGCUCAAGAAUGUGAGGUCGCCGACGGCGUCGCCCAUGAUGGGGCAAGGGGUUCGCUCCCGGCAGCGUGAGGCUCGCCAAGAUGCGAAGGCGGAGCGGUGCCGUCUGCGCCACGAGCAACAGAACCGGCAGCGACUGCGACGACAGCAGCUGGGGCCGGCCGGCGGUGAGGACGGCCCGGCUGAGUCGCAUGCCCCCGCAUCGCUCUCCGUAUUCACCGAUGACUCUUCGCCGUCCUCAUCGUCCAGGGAGCGGAGGGCCACUGGUGCUCCAGGCGACUCUUGCGCUACUACGCUUCCUCUGCUAGAGCUGAUUAACGUCUCGGCGCGGUAUCGCGCCACGCUGCCGUACGUCCUGCGCCACGUGAACCUGGCCGUCUUUCCAGGCGAGCGCCUUGGUGUGGUGGGCCACGCCGGACAAGGUAAGAGAUCCAUCUUCAACGUGCUGCUACGCCUGGUGGACGUGAUCGAAGGCGGCGGCGUCUUCGUGGACGGCGAGGACGCCGCGCGAAUACCAUACCCCAUUCUUCGCAGCUGGUUUGGCCUUCUGUCACAGGAGCCACUUCUCGUGCAGGGGUCGUGGCGCAGCAACCUCCUCCUCGGCUACCAUUUCGCUCACUGCAUGCUGAUGGACGGCGCCAACGGCGGCGCUGACCAUCUUUUCCUACCAACCACGACGCUCGCCUGUCAGCAGCUGCAGGCAGACGCACGUCCAACAUCGAGGGCCGCCGCGGCGGUCACCGCACAGCUGGCAGCGGCGGCUGGGGAGCGCGAGCCUCUGCUGCAACGAGGCGCUACUGCUCACACUCGCGGUGGCACCGGGGCUGCUGCUGGACCAGAGGACAGCAGGGCAUCUGUCUCCGCGGCGGAGAACAGCUACGGUAGCACCGACAGUGCUCAGCCAUACAUGCAAGCCGGAGGCGGCGAACGCGCUCACGUGGGGUUUAUGCACACCACAGCCGACUUUGCUUUCAGAGACCAACGCCGCACCUCGGAGGAUGGCGGUAGCCGUGGCGGUGACUGUGGCGUCGCCUCCAUGGCGGGCGCAGCAGCUCGACGGCUCCGCGACAGCCUCACAUCCUUCCAGCGCUGCCUCAGACGCAGAAACAACAGCGACUACAACGAGCACAUCCUGCCGGGGAGUGCCGGUGGAGGUGACGGACGUCGCCGCUGCCGCAGUAGCUGUGACACGGCCAGCAACGAAAGCCAUCCACACCACCUUCACGGGCAUGCGGUUAAGGGGCUGCGGCAGCCUGUGGAGGACGCUGUGCUGUGGGAAGCGCUGCGGGCCGUUGGACUCGAUGCUGCAGUGGAGUUGAGCGGCGGCCUUGAUGCCCCGCUCGUCGGCGACGACCUGGCUGAGACGGGCCUGACGGAUUCGCAGUGCCGUCUUCUCUGCCUCGCGCGUGUGGUGCUGAGGAGGCCACCGAUUGUGCUCCUGGAAGACGCCGUUCACUCCGGCGCUGAGGCGCAGACGGACUUCGCCAUUCACCGCGUCUUGGCGAAUGAGCUGCGCGAGUCGACGGUGUUGAUCAUUGCCCACCGCAUGUCCACUCUGCUAAACCUCUGCACGCGUGUCGUGGCGGUGCAGGGAGGGACGUUGAUGCCUAUCGCUGACCUGGGGCCAACACUAGCGUCAGCGGUCACGGCGGAUGCUCCAGGGGCAGGCGACGAGACUCGGUACGCGGCUGCCAUGCGCCCGGCAACGGCGGUACUGGAUCCGGUCGUGCUAAAGCAGCUCUCCCACCAUCUAGAGUAGCCGCGAGUCGGUAAUCUGCCGUUUGUGUUGAAGCCUAGCAUGGCGGUGGGGCCGACCGAGGGGGCGUGACCACUCCAUACCCGCGCACACCCGCCGACCUAACUGGACAGGAGCGCAUGCUCGUCCUCGUUCAUGUGAAGUUUGGCGCACUUGGACGGCUGUCGGGGUGCUCACUGCAUCGAUGAGAAAAGACGACACACACACACGCACAAGCACAAGCACGCACAGCACCGAGAUGGAAGGCGUGGUGGUGUAUGUUGCAGACACGAGCGUGCAGAUGACGUCAUCGAAUGCCCCGAACAGCCGAUGCCGAUGAAGAGAGACAGCGAUCGGUGGCGUGGGUGGGGAGAGUUGAGGUAAGUACACCGAUGCCUGUACUGCUGCUGCUUCUGUUUUCGAAUAUAGACGAUCAUCUAUCGUCCCCGGCCACCGCCACUCCUCUUUCCCUCGCGAGGCACGUGUGGCGUGAAGGUAAUAGUUUCCGUGACGUUUACAGCGCUGCCACUUAACCACGCGCAUAUUAGCAGCC